UAGAAAUUGAAAAAAACCGGGGAGGCAGAGAGAAGAAAAACUGCUUGUUUGUUUGGCGAGAAAGAAAAGUAGAAUUUUCUUUUCCUUUCGGGAGAGAAAAAAAAUGGUAUUCAACAGUGUGAUGGUAGUAUGGGUGGCGAACAGAUCAGCAGAUGUAUGGCAAUACGUUGCUUGCAUUCCUGACCGUUUAAGCAGUCAACAGUUGCUAGAUCUAAUCUGCUGCUUCCCGUUGCAGCAAUUCGGCCGCUUCGCUCUGUGUCUCUGGACCUUCUUCUGUCUCCCUCCGUCCGAUUCUUACUAUUACUCCUCAUCCAACGACUCUGAUUCGUCAUCUUCGGCUCCCGACUACGACUACUAUUACGAUUCGCAUUCCGAUUGACCGGUCAAUCCAUCAAUGAAUGGACGAUCCUGAACCAAACAUGGGGAUAGGAUAAUUUGUAAGGUUCAGAUCUCCUGGACAUCUUCUUUACCUGCCUAGAAAAAAUACUGUUCAUCAGGAGAAUCAGAGUGAGAGUAAGCCCAACACUCUCAGUAAACAUGGUUUUAUUAUAAAUGUGGUUGACCACUUUGUGUUGCUCCUCUGGAAAAUUCUAGAAGAGAAUAUUAUAUCACACUCAAACUUUUAUGGUAUUUUAUAUUUAAGCUACCUCUAAUUUUAUUUA
Vitis riparia (riverbank grape) is the source of this 662-nucleotide RNA transcript. RefSeq lists it as uncharacterized. The record is from RefSeq and is a predicted model, not a curated record. Lineage: Eukaryota; Viridiplantae; Streptophyta; Magnoliopsida; Vitales; Vitaceae. The transcript has 3 exons.